RNAcentral lists this ribosomal RNA (420 nucleotides) under uncultured bacterium. RNAcentral's name for it is "bacterial SSU rRNA". It matches the Rfam family "Bacterial small subunit ribosomal RNA", at positions 356 to 773 of the family's 1533-position model. The record is from RNAcentral.
AAGGAAUAUUGGUCAAUGGACGAAAGUCUGAACCAGCCAUGCCGCGUGAAGGAUGACGGCCCUCUGGGUUGUAAACUUCUUUUAUCUGGGACGAAAAAAGAUCAUUCUUGAUCCCUUGACGGUACCAGAGGAAUAAGCACCGGCUAACUCCGUGCCAGCAGCCGCGGUAAUACGGAGGGUGCAAGCGUUAUCCGGAUUUACUGGGUUUAAAGGGUGCGUAGGCGGGUUAGUAAGUCAGUGGUGAAAUCUUCGAGCUUAACUCGGAAACUGCCGUUGAUACUAUUAAUCUUGAAUAUUCUGGAGGUGAGCGGAAUAUGUCAUGUAGCGGUGAAAUGCUUAGAUAUGACAUAGAACACCGAUUGCGAAGGCAGCUCACUACGGAAUGAUUGACACUGAGGCACGAAAGCGUGGGGAUCAAAC